This 496-nucleotide ribosomal RNA is filed under the name uncultured Wautersiella sp. RNAcentral's name for it is "bacterial SSU rRNA". It matches the Rfam family "Bacterial small subunit ribosomal RNA", at positions 11 to 507 of the family's 1533-position model. Lineage: Bacteria; Pseudomonadati; Bacteroidota; Flavobacteriia; Flavobacteriales; Weeksellaceae. The record is from RNAcentral.
GUUUGAUCCUGGCUCAGGAUGAACGCUAGCGGGAGGCUUAACACAUGCAAGCCGAGGGGUAGAGUUAGCUUGCUAACUUGAGACCGGCGCACGGGUGCGUAACGCGUAUGCAACUUGCCCUACUGAAGAGGAUAGCCCAGAGAAAUUUGGAUUAAUACUUUAUAAUAUAUUGAAUGGCAUCAUUUAGUAUUGAAAGAUUUAUCGCAGUAGGAUAGGCAUGCGUAAGAUUAGUUAGUUGGUAAGGUAACGGCUUACCAAGACGAUGAUCUUUAGGGGGCCUGAGAGGGUGAACCCCUACACUGGUACUGAGACACGGACCAGACUCCUACGGGAGGCAGCAGUGAGGAAUAUUGGACAAUGGGUGGAAGCCCGAUCCAGCCAUCCCGCGUGUAGGAUGACGGCCUUAUGGGUUGUAAACUACUUUUAUCUGGGGAUAAACCUACUUACGUGUAAGUAGCUGAAGGUACCAGAAGAAUAAGCACCGGCUAACUCCGUG